CUUUUAAAAAGAUUUGCAUGCCUCUCCACGGGGCAGAGAAAAACUCACAAUGACAACUUUUCUCAAGUAAAAGCCCUAAAAGAAAGGAGAGGGGCCUCUUUCCCUUUUUGCCCCAGGGAAAAUGAUUUAUGUAUUUAAAAAAAUUUUUUUAAUGUGUAUUCAUUUUUGAGAGACAGAGAGACAGAGCAUGAGUAGGGGAGAGGCAGUGAGAAAGGAAGACACAGAAUCCGAAGCAGGCUCCAGGCUCCAAGCUGUCAGCACAGAGCCUGACGCUGGGCUCGAAUUUACGGACUGUGAGAUCAUGAUCUGAGCCGAAGUCAGAUGCUUAAACAACUGAGCCACCCAAGUGCCCUGGUUUACCUAUUUUUUCAAUUGACUUUUGCCCUUUGCCCCUGCCCCCACCUCUCUUGGCAGGGCCCAGGUUCUCUGUCACCAGAGUGGCUGUUGGAAGGUGACCUAGGAGAGGGGCAGGGGACACCCUUGGAAUGGGGCUUCUCCGGGGCCGAGGUGAAGAGCAAGAGGACACAGCUAUUUGUGAGACGGCAGCGCUGGUGCUCCUGAGGCCUCCGCGGAUGGAGGGUGGCCUGGCGGGCGCGAGUGCAGACCGGGCCGGUGUGAUGCGUGGACGCCCCAUGGGAGCUGGGGCCUGACACUGACCUCGGUGAGCAGAGCCGCCCACCGCUGCCGUGUCACUGUGCAGGCUGAGUCUUCGGGGUGUGUGUGUGUGUGUGUGUGUGUGUGUGUGUGUGUGCGCGCGCGAUGCUGACAUUACCAUAAUUAUAGGAAGACCAAGGACAGAUGGUUCCAGACGUUGCAGCAGAAGGAACCUUUUCCCAGGUAAACUCAUAAGGAGAAUCCUAACGCAGGCAUGAGAGGAAGGGUCUGCCAGGGCCCCCUCCCCGACCUGUGGCGGCUGCUGAGGUACCCUGGGGUCUUAGGGAAGAGGUGGCUUUGACCCUGGAGGACAGGGGCCCCGGGAGACCAGGGAGCCUCUUGGCCUGCAGCCACAUCCUUGCGGCUCUGGGCCUCCCAUGGACUCCUGCCGCCUGCUGGCCAGGCUUAGAGAGGACUCUUCCUGGCUGGCCAUAGUUUCCGGGUAAUUAAGAGCUUACCUUUGUUGUUGUUGUUGUUUUUAACUAGAGAGAGAGAGCAGGCAGAGGGGGGAGGAGAGAGAGAGAGAAUGAAUCUCCAUAAGUGUGGGGCCCAAUGCAGGUCUUUUUCUUUUUAAUUUUUUUGGUUUAUUUGUUUUUGAGACAGAGACAGAGCCUGAGCAGGGGAGGGGCAGAGAGAGAGAGAGGGAGACACGGAAUCCGAAGCAGGCUCCAGGCUCCGAGCUGCCAGCACAGAACCCGAUGCGGGGCUCGAACCCAUGGACCACGAGAUCAUGAC
This 1389-nucleotide long non-coding RNA is filed under the name Suricata suricatta (meerkat). RNAcentral describes it as "lncRNA (ENSSSUG00005015720.1)". Lineage: Eukaryota; Metazoa; Chordata; Mammalia; Carnivora; Herpestidae. The record is from RNAcentral.